This is a long non-coding RNA of Manis pentadactyla (Chinese pangolin), 395 nucleotides long. RefSeq lists it as uncharacterized. The record is from RefSeq and is a predicted model, not a curated record. NCBI's taxonomy places the organism in Eukaryota, Metazoa, Chordata, Mammalia, Pholidota, Manidae. The transcript has 3 exons.
GUUCGACGUAGGAAAAUAGAGAAAGUUGAAAAUCCUUUCUACAGUUAUAGACCCUGUGUCAGUUUGGGUCGGUGUUUCCAAGACACGGGUCGAGCGCUCUGAGCGAGUGAAGACAACUUUGCUGGGACAAGAAACGGGAGAGGCCCUGAAGCGGAAUCUUGAUUGCCUUUCUCUUUCACAAGAUAUCAUUACAUUCAUGGCAUUAUGCUGAUUGGACCUAGGGGGCAAAAAGUAGCAACUAAUCUAAACUUACUGAGGACAAAUAUCAGAGUCCACUGUAGAGGAUUUAGAGUCAGACUGCCUGGUGACUUGGUGUCAACACUUGCCUGCUGCUUGAUCUUCAGCAAGUCAUGUUAGAGGAUAAAAUAAGGCACAUUAAAAUUUUCAUGAGUUUA